RNAcentral lists this ribosomal RNA (253 nucleotides) under uncultured bacterium. Its description in RNAcentral is "partial 16S ribosomal RNA". It matches the Rfam family "Bacterial small subunit ribosomal RNA", at positions 524 to 776 of the family's 1533-position model. The record is from RNAcentral.
UACAGAGGGUGCAAGCGUUGUUCGGAAUUAUUGGGCGUAAAGGGCGCGUAGGCGGUGCUGUAAGUCUGUAGUGAAAUCUCUGGGCUCAACUCAGAGUCUGCUAUAGAAACUGCAGUGCUGGAGUGUGGGAGAGGUGAGUGGAAUUCCCGGUGUAGCGGUGAAAUGCGCAGAUAUCAGGAGGAACACCAAUGGCGAAGGCAGCUCACUGGGACGAUACUGACGCUGAGACGCGAAAGCGUGGGGAGCAAACAGG